Long non-coding RNA from Etheostoma spectabile (orangethroat darter), 87 nucleotides. RefSeq lists it as uncharacterized. The record is from RefSeq and is a predicted model, not a curated record. NCBI's taxonomy places the organism in Eukaryota, Metazoa, Chordata, Actinopteri, Perciformes, Percidae. The transcript is spliced from 3 exons.
CUUCAUUCAAAGACUGCAGGCCAGAGGUGCCCAAAUUCUUUCAUAUGAAGGGCUAAAAUGUAUCUGGAUGGCAGGCAACGGGCCAAA